Chroicocephalus ridibundus (black-headed gull) is the source of this 752-nucleotide long non-coding RNA. RefSeq lists it as uncharacterized. The transcript is spliced from 3 exons. NCBI's taxonomy places the organism in Eukaryota, Metazoa, Chordata, Aves, Charadriiformes, Laridae. The record is from RefSeq and is a predicted model, not a curated record.
AUCCGUGAGAAUGGACAAAAGGGACUUUUUGCUAGAGAGUGCUGUGCAUGAGAAACGGUAUUAUUUAAAGCCUUCCUGGAGAGCCGGUGUAUGCAUGAACAGACACAUGGCAUUUCAAGCAUUCUCUUACUGACACAUCCUUCCUUCACGUUAACCAUGAUGCAUGAGCUGUCCCAUCUUAGCAUGCCCAACGGGCAAACGUUUUUUUGCAAGACAAGCUCUUCACUGAGUUUCUGCAGGACCCAGAACCACAGGUCCAAGGUGAGUGAGAAGGAAUCUUAGGCAUUACUACGGUAAUAAUUACAAUACUGUCACUCCGUAAAACAAGGCUUCAGUUUGGCCAACUGGAAGGCCAAAUCCCUAAAUUCCAGAUGCUGUGAGAACUUGUUUUUCUUCCACUGUUUUUAUUCUUUCCCUGGUUGCAGGCUUUUAAUCGGUUUGUUUGGGAGAUGGUCCUUGACGAACAAAACACCACAGAACUGGCACAUCUCAACAUCCUUCAGUGACAAGUGCGGGGUGUUCCCCAGCGCAGAGCUCUGGAGCAGAGCUGUCCCUCUGCUUCUCCAUGGCUGUCUCCUCCCACAGCGGCUGCUCCUUAAACAGAAAUCCAGCUGAGGCAGCAAGCUGCUGAAAACAAGAGCCAUAGGCCUCACACCCACGGUAUGCAGGAACGUUGUUCGUGUACUGCCAUCUGCUGUUACAGUACAGCCCAUUUCAUCACUACGCUAUUCUUCUGGGGUUUCCAUUCCAGC